RNAcentral lists this ribosomal RNA (457 nucleotides) under Coleocentrus rufus. Its description in RNAcentral is "partial 28S ribosomal RNA". The record is from RNAcentral. Lineage: Eukaryota; Metazoa; Arthropoda; Insecta; Hymenoptera; Ichneumonidae.
CCUGAGAAACCCGAAAGAUCGAAUGGGGAGAUUCAUCGUCAGCGAUGCUGGUACGUGUGCGGUUCGCGAUGCCGGAGACCUCGGUCUCGUGGCACGCGUCCGCAUGUUUUUUAUUGCCUGGUAUCGUCGGCGUGCACUUCUCCCCUAGUAGGACGUCGCGACCCGUUGGGUGUCGGUCUACGGCCCGGGUGGGUGCCUGUCUCGUGUGCGCUUCACGGUGUCACUGCGGGGCAGACCCCCGGCUGCCCGACCGGCUGCCCGGCGGUACUCGCAAGGUAUCUGGCCGCAAAUAUUCGAACUGCGUCCGGCCCGUCGCAAGCGAGGCAAGUGUUUUCCCGGAUGUACGGAUCUAAUGCCGUCAUCGGGCCUGGCCAGCUGUUGGUUGACGGUGUCCUAGGACUGGCUAUAAUAAUUAUGAUACCGGUCAGCGACGCUACUGCUUUGGGUACUUUCARGA